CCUACGGGUGGCAGCAGUGAGGAAUAUUCGUCAAUGGGCGCGAGCCUGAACCAGCCAAGUAGCGUGAAGGAUGACUGCCCUACGGGUUGUAAACUUCUUUUAUAAAGGAAUAAAGUGAGGCACGUGUGCCUUUUUGUAUGUCCUUUCUGAAUAAGGAUCGGCCAACUACGUGCCAGCAGCCGCGGUAAUACGGAGGAUCCGAGCGUUAUCCGGGUUUAUUGGGUUGAAAGGGUGCGUAGGUGGGGAGGUAAGUCAGCGGUGAAAUGCCCCUGCUCAACGGGGUGAAGUGCCAUUGAUACUGCCUGGCUGGAAUGCGGAUGCCGUGGGAGGAAUGUGUGGUGUAGCGGUGAAAUGCAUAGAUAUCACACAGAACACCGAUUGUGAAGGCAUCUCACGAAUCCGCGAUUGACGCUGAUGCACGAAAGCGUGGGUAUCAAACAGGAUUAGAUACCCCGGUAGUC
Molecule: ribosomal RNA, 461 nt
Filed under: uncultured bacterium
Lineage: Bacteria
Description: partial 16S ribosomal RNA
Rfam family: Bacterial small subunit ribosomal RNA
Source: RNAcentral